CCUCCUUUCUCUGUAAGUUCUUGGAAUCUACCUCCUGUGUUCCCUGUGAGGAUUUUUCUCCUUCUAGUGCUCCCCAUGGUUUCCUUGUGUUUUCAGUUGAGUGUUUUCAGAUUCUGUUUUAAUGGACAGUUUGGAUUCGCCUGCAGUGUGAGCCAAUCGCUGUUGGUGCUGCUGCUGCUGUUACUUCACAUCCCGGCCUUCCCACAGCCCCCCUUUCUCCCCCUCCACCAGCGCUGGGCAGCCACAAAAGCGUUGGCCCGAUUCCAGGGAGGCUCCGAUCCUGCAGCCACGUCAAUCACGUCUUCACCGCUGGCUGCAGGGCGGCCCUCGUGGCCGGGAUGCCACUGUGUGCCAUGCCAGUCCACAGUGGACGGUGAGGGUCAGGAGGAGGGGACCGAGUGCAGGAGACUGAGAGGAGGCGGCCCGCACCAGACAGGAGAAAUGAACCUCUGCUGGAACGAGAUCAAAAGAAAGUCGCACAACAUCCGGGUGCGGCUAGAGGCCUUCUCGGACAACAGCGGGAAGCUGCAGCUUUCUCUGCAGGAGAUCAUAGAAUGGCUGACGGCCAAGGACGAGGAGUUGUCAGAGCAGCUGCCCAUAGGAGGCGACGUGGGGGCUGUGCAGCACCAGAGAGAGUUCCAUCAGGCGUUCAUGGAGGAUGUGAAGUCUCGGGGGCCGUUCAUCUACUCAGUCUUGGAGUCAGCCCAGGCUUUUCUGGCUCAGCACCCCUUCCAGGAACCAGAGGAGACCCUGACCGAUGGAAAAGAGGUGUCACCACGUCGGCGCAUCUUAAAUGUGAGCCGCUCAGUGUGGAAGCAGGCGAAUGUGGCCAGCGACCUGUGGGAAAAGCUGACGGCGCGAUGCGUGGACCGCCAUAGACACAUGGAGCGGACAUUAGAGCGUCUGCUUCAGAUCCAGGCAGCAAUGGAGGAGCUGGCUGUGGCCCUGGAACAGGCAGAGGGGGUGAGAGACGCCUGGGAGCCUGUGGGAGACCUCUUCAUCGACUCUCUGCAGGAUCACAUAGAUGCCACAAAGUUAUUCAAGGAGGAGCUGACCCAGGUGAAGGAGGGCAUGAAGCACGUCAAUGAUCUGGCCCACCAGCUGGCCAUCUCCGAUGUCCAUUUGUCGAUGGAGAACGCCCGCGCCCUGGAGCAUCUCAACAGCAGAUGGAAAGUGCUUCAGGGUUCCAUAGAGGAGCGGCUAAAGCAGCUUCAGGAUGCACAUAGAGACUUUGGCCCUGGAUCGCAGCACUUCCUUUCCAGUUCAGUGCAGAUACCGUGGGAGCGUGCCAUCUCCCCAAACAAAGUGCCCUACUACAUCAACCAUCAAGCCCAGACGACGUGCUGGGACCAUCCAAAGAUGACAGAACUGUACCAAGCACUCGCGGAUCUGAACAACAUCAAGUUCUCAGCAUACAGAACAGCUAUGAAGCUGCGGCGAGUUCAGAAGGCUCUGAGAUUGGAUUUGGUGGCAUUGAGCGGUCUCGUGGAGGUGUUUCGGGAGCAGGACCUGCAGCAGGGCGAGCAUGUGAUGGAUGUGGUGGAGAUGAUCCACGGCCUGACGGCUCUGUACGAGAAACUGGAGGAGGAGCAAUCCAUCCUGGUCAACAUUCCACUUUGCGUUGACAUGUGCCUCAACUGGCUGCUAAAUGUCUACGACAGUGCUCGGAAUGGCAAAAUGCGAGUCCUCAGCUUUAAGAUGGGAUUGGUGAGCUUGUGCAAUGCGGACGUCCAGGAGAAGUACAAAUACUUAUUCCGUCAGGUGUCCGGUCCUGGAGGUUUGACAGACCAACGCCACCUGAGCUUGCUGCUUCAUGAAGCCAUUCAGAUCCCCCGCCAGCUGGGUGAAGUCGCUGCUUUUGGUGGCAGCAAUGUGGAGCCCAGCGUCCGUAGCUGCUUCAGAAUGGCCCCGGGGAAACCUGCCAUCGAGGUGUCUCACUUCCUGGAGUGGAUGAGCCUGGAGCCCCAGUCGAUGGUUUGGCUGCCUGUCCUCCACCGCGUGGCUGCUGCAGAGUCCACCAAGCACCAGGCCAAAUGUUACAUCUGCAAACAGUGUCCCAUUAAGGGUUUCAGGUAUCGCAGUCUGAAGCAGUUCAAUGUGGACAUCUGCCAGACAUGUUUUCUAACCGGCCGCACUACCAAGGGAAAGAAGCUGCACUACCCCAUCAUGGAGUACUACACGCCAACAACCUCGGGAGAGAAGAUGAGGGACUUUGCCAAGACUCUGAAGAAUAAGUUCAGAUCAAAGCAGUACUUCACCAAGCACCCUCAGAGAGGUUACCUGCCAGUGCAAUCUGUGCUGGAAGCCGAGAGCUUAGAGACGCCGUGCUCGUCACCCAAGCUGCCUCACGCAGACACACACAGCAGGAUCGAACAUUAUGCCAGCAGAUUGGCAGAAAUGGAGAGCCAGAAUUGUUCAUUCUUCACGGAUAGCCUGUCUCCUGAUGAAAGUCUCUGUCCUUGGCUUUGCUUGGUGCUGCUGUUGGCUGUGUGCUGGUGGCUCAGUGUGCUGUCUCCUGUGUGGGGGACUCAGGGAUGAAGAUCAGUACCUCCUGCGUCACUCCAGCCCAGCCCUGGACAAUGACUCACCCUGUGGACAGCACAUGCUUCUGGCCCACUUGGAGCACCAGGACAAGGAGCAGCUACAACGCACCCUUGCCCGCCUGGAGAACGAGAACAGGGUGCUGCAGGGCGAGUACCGGAGGCUAAAGUGGAAGCACGAGGAGGCAGCGUCGGUUCCCAUGCUGACUGAGGCUGGGGAGGGAGGUCCAGGUUCACCCACAGCAGAGGGCCAGCAGGAUGAGGAGCUCCUAGCAGAAGCUCGGGUCCUCCGGCAACACAAGACAAGACUGGAGACGCGAAUGCAGAUCCUGGAGGACCACAACAAGCAGCUGGAGUCACAGCUGCGCAGGCUCAGGGAGCUACUGCUACAGCCCAAAGAUGAUUCGGAGGCAAAUGGAUCAGAACCAUCAACCCUGUCGUCUCCUGUGUCUGGAGUGGGUCACCAUGGGGAGCCAGCCAGCAGGGAGACCACAGACACUGAAGCAGCAGGAGAUGACAUGGAGCAUGAACAGGACACGGUGCUGCAGCUCCAGGAGGUCAUCGAGCAGCUGAGAAACGUCUUCCCCUCAGAACCGGGCACCACCUCACACAUCUAACCCUGACUUGGCCUGAAGGAGGAUGGUUAAAGCCUGUAAGGAUGCCUGAUGGCCGAGGGAAGAGCUCCAUACGGCUUUGGCCGGGCAGCAGUCCACCAGGCCCUGUGACCACUGCAGCAGCAAUGAUACCCAGAGCUAACCUCCCACUGGAACUCUGUGCACUAAAAGCCUUUUUCAUGCAAACCGCUGAAGGUUCACGCUGAUGUUCGUUUGGCCAGGUUGUGCUUUAUAACUUCAGCCUGACACUACGUUACCAGACCAAAGGAAACUAAAGUUAGCAGCAGGUCAGGGAGGCACUGAAGUAAGAGGAAGAUGCUCAGCCAAGACACUGUGCUUACCAGUAUCUGUGUAGUCGUUUGAGGGUGUGAAGCUUUAUAUCAGUCCACAGCACAAAUUGGACCAUCGAUGUAAAGAAGAUGAAAAAAUGCAAAAGGGAAGAAGAAGAUUCCCUUGUUUUGUCAGAAUGCCUAUGUCUUCAGUAUUUGUGUUUUUUUUCCUCCUUGAAUGUCUCAUCAUGGUUAUUUUUGUUAUUGAAGGAAGGUAAAGCUCAGUAGCGUAAACCAGAUCAGGGCUGGGUGACUGCAUUUCUUGUGGCUGUGUGGUAUGGAUUGUCAGGGAGUUGACAGCAACCACGACAUGCUUAUUUACUUUGUGAGAAUGACAAAUCAUGAGUUAAAUCCAUGAUUUAUUUAAGACAGCCAAAGUGCCCGCUAGCACAGCGCCUCUGUAUGCACACACUGUUUUCAUUUAAUCCUCCCUAACUGCUUGUCGCUGUCAUUGCUCGCCUCUCCUAAGUGAGCCCCUUACGCUCAUGCAAAACCACAUGCACUCACUGUAUGUGAACGCACACGUAUGCUGCUACAUCCCUUCUUUCAUUGUGCACAAAUACACAAAUGACUCCCUGCAUGAUGGAUAACACAUGCUGAUCUGCAUCCCUAAAAAAUACAGACCUCCUUAAAAAUUGAGCUCCCGCAUUCAUCGUUUUGUCUCCCAGGAUUCAGACAAGCUUUUCAGUUUUGAGGCAGUUUGUAAUGUGACAGAUAUUGGGGGUUUUGUUGAGGAAAUUUCUACUGAUAAAUGUCAAACCUCCUCUUUGGAAUCUUUGUGUUCUCCUGCUGUGUGCAAAGAAAGGGAGGGAAAGAGCUGCAGGCGAUAGUAGCGCCAGACUGAAGCUCUUUCUCUCUCUCUGUCUGCAAGGCCAAUUCCAGACACAUCAGGGAGGGGCCGAGGGCCACUAUGACGUGGUCCUGCACUGACUUCUUUCAUAAUCCCCUCUCUCCAUGUAGAAGAAAAGUUUCUAAUGACUCCACAUGCCUCAUUUGCAAACUGAAUUUCUUUUAGAUUUACAAAAAGGUGACUUUGAAAUAACUUCACCCUCACAGAACAAGCAUUGGGUGCAAUCUGUUUUAAACAGUGCAGACAAUUAAUGCCUUAAAUUCAUACAAAGUUAGUUUGUUUCCCUUAUUGAUUUCCCCUUGUGUUUCGCAUUCAAGGAAGGAGGUUGCAUCGGUCAUGCGUUUACAAUUCUGCGUCUGUCAGACUUCAGACAGGCCGGUAGUUAAUUUGAAAACAACGGAAAACAAUACAGAAAUGUGGAUUACCCUUCAUUGAAAAACCAACUAAACAGGGCUUUUAGAGGCGCAUCCAUGAUGCUGGGCUGACGCUUGGAGGGACUAAAGAUUUGAGAGAUAAGAGAGGAAAGGUAGAGGGGAGAAAAAACAAUCCAUUUAUCGCUCGAGGGCUGGUGGGAGAGAUCCACUUUGAUGUGCCUGCCAUGGCAAAAAAAUCUCCAGAAGCAAGACAAGAGAUUGCCUGAAACUAGUAAGCUGUGGCUCUGUGUGUUUCUCUGCAAUCAUACUGCCUCAUCCUCACAGAAGAGACAGAGAUAUACACAGAGAGGAACUCAGCUUUAUCCUUAAGAAAUGACACUAUGACCUCACAGACAUGAGUUCGAUGCCCAUGUUGCUGCACUCAUUACGGGCUACUCCUAUCGGCACACGGCGCUCACGUCCUGCCACCACACUCCCUCCUCAGCACUCACUGCCUGCCUCCUUAGUUGUGAUUCAGUUGCUAGGGAACUGUCCCCAAGGACGCAGUAGCAAAGGUUUGAGAGAAGGUAAGGCAAUAUGCCGUUCAUAACACCAAUGCUAACAGCCUUAAGGGAAGCGAGAGACGGCUUACAUCCCUCUUCUUCACUCGUGCUUCUGAAGAUAUUCAUUACCGUGUGCUGAAUCCAUCUCUGCUUUCAUUGAAGCUCUGACAAGUCACAACAAAGAGCAGCAGAAUAAACAUGACGAGUAAUGUUUGUUUGUAGAUGUUUAUUUAUUCGUAGUUACACAUCUCAUUACACAUUGAUGAUCACACUGCAGCCUUGCACUUUGUUCUUUGGUAUGUGGGCACACAAAAUGAUGUAACGGUGACGUGUGGCGAAACAGCAGAGGGAUUCCCCACAGAGCUGCACGUCAAUUCUUGUUUAUUUUCAGACAAUAAAGAGGAGGUAGACUCUAAUAAAUACACUUGUUGGUCAUACAUCAGAUGAUGCAUUGAUUGCCCACAUUCUUAUCUGACUCUGAUAGUCCUCCAGCUGUAGAAGAGUCGCACAGCAUCUCAACCCUGCGCCUCAGUAAUCAUCUGAUCCAUGCAUACGUCCCUAUACUGGUAGUAGCAGCUCCCUAUAUUCCUCACACACUAACACAUGCCCUGCUCUCUGUAUAUCUCUCUCUGGUGCAACUGAAGCCGUAUGACUUCAGAUAAAAUGCUCCCCACAGAGGCGAGAGUCACCCAGAGGACACUGCUCUCUCACUCCAGACUUCAGUUGCCGCAUGUAGCCGGCCAACACGCUAAUGGCUCCCAUCAUUACUCUCUUGUCUUUGUGUCACGCCCUCCAUGUUUGCUAUCAUGAAUCUAAGCUUGUAAGAAGGACACCAUUUGUGCUUCACAUGGUGGGGGCAGUGAAUCACUUAACCUCAAUGAACAUGGUGUUUAUAACACUAACACAUAUAUACACUCACUCAUGACUUACUGGUGGACUGAGGUUUAUUUUAAUUUAUUUAUACCACCAUUAAUAUACCUCAUUAAUCUUUCAAAUGUUUCAUGUUUAACAGUUUUGGUUUGAUGUUUUUGUCCAGCACUCAAACACUUCUUGCUGUCUUUUCUCUGGCGUUUUUAAUCUGUAAAAAUACAAAAAAGUUUUCUGAAGAAAGGCUUUUUACUGUAAUAACAAGUGGGUUACUGGCUGCUUUCUACUCUUUGUGUACAGAAAUAAAAAAACUUUGUAUUUGCCAAA
RNA transcript from Notolabrus celidotus (New Zealand spotty), 6443 nucleotides. It is a transcript of the gene named dystrophin related protein 2, with no coding region annotated. NCBI's taxonomy places the organism in Eukaryota, Metazoa, Chordata, Actinopteri, Labriformes, Labridae. The transcript is spliced from 25 exons. The record is from RefSeq and is a predicted model, not a curated record.